Mytilus californianus (California mussel) is the source of this 1124-nucleotide long non-coding RNA. RefSeq lists it as uncharacterized. NCBI's taxonomy places the organism in Eukaryota, Metazoa, Mollusca, Bivalvia, Mytilida, Mytilidae. The record is from RefSeq and is a predicted model, not a curated record. The transcript is spliced from 2 exons.
GCAACCUAUUCAGGGACCCUGAAUCAACAGGGUAGGUAAGCUAGGUCAGUUAGGAGUAAUAUCAACGACUAAUGGUGGAUCACGUGGAGGUCGGAGUAUAUCAACGACUGAUGGUGGAUCACAUGGAGGUCGGAGUAUAUCAACGACUGAUGGUGGAUCACAUGGAGGUCGGAGUAUAUCAACGACUAAGGGUGGAUCAUAUGGAAGUCGGAGUUAUCAACGACUGAUGGUGGAUCACAUGGAGGUCGGAGUUAUCAACGAUAGUCGGAGUAGUUGCAGUACUUCUGAAUGACGGGAAUUGGCGUUGCAGAUAAACAAACGGAUUGUUGGAGUUGACAACGACGAUCGGAGGAGAAGUUCACCGGAGUCGGGGUUAUGAAGACAGUCCGCAGUUGAUGGUUGCGCCUUUUUCUAGAAUUAAGAAGUUCCGAUAUUUGAUGUUACGAGGAGUGUUAUGAUAGAACUAUAACAACUUAGUUAUUCACACAAGAAUUGUAUGAACUAUACAUUGCUGGACAUUUAGAUGUUGUUGAACUUUUGAAAUGAUUUUGUUUAUGAAUAUUGUUUUUUUUUUGUGGAAUUUGUAAGCAUUCAUAUUGUCACCGAUUUAAACUAAAAUAUAAAAUUAUAUUUCUUAAGAAAGGGAGGAAUGUGACAAUAUGAUGGGCUUAAAAUAUAUAUAUAUAUUUAUAUAUAUAUAUAUUUAUAUUUAUAUUUAUGAUUAUAUAUUCUCAAAAUGUUUAUUAAAUUGAAUAAAAUAAAUACAGGGGAAUAUCUAUUAAGAAAAUCAUGACCUUGGGAAAGGUUGUUUUAAUUGACCACUACGUUGCAUAUAACUUUAAAAACAUGUUUACAUGCAAACCAGAUGGUGACAUGUUGUAAUAACAAUUAGUUAAAAGACUGGACAUACGUGUAUUCUACAACUAUCAAUUUCCAGCUUGGUCAAAACAUGUCAAUUAGAGUCAACUUAAUAGAUAUUCAUCCAUGUACCUUUAGAAUUAAAACUAUUAUUGUCAAAUUAAUAGAAACUUUGACAAACUGUUAUAUUCUGUAUAUAUACCUAUGUAUUUACUGUAUGGGACACAUCGGCUCAUUUGGCGUAAAUAAAUAAACUGUUAACUAAC